GGCCUCAGAUCAGGGAGGAUCACC
RNAcentral lists this ribosomal RNA (24 nucleotides) under Sesamia inferens (purple stem borer). Its description in RNAcentral is "partial 28S ribosomal RNA". RNAcentral also lists the same sequence under 1 other name. The record is from RNAcentral. Lineage: Eukaryota; Metazoa; Arthropoda; Insecta; Lepidoptera; Noctuidae.